GAUGAACGCUGGCGGCGUGCCUAAUACAUGCAAGUAGAACGCUGAAGGAGGAGCUUGCUCUUCUGGAUGAGUUGCGAACGGGUGAGUAACGCGUAGGUAACCUGCCUGGUAGCGGGGGAUAACUAUUGGAAACGAUAGCUAAUACCGCAUGACAACAGUUAUUGCAUGAUAACUGUUUAAAAGGGGCAACUGCUCCACUACCAGAUGGACCUGCGUUGUAUUAGCUAGUUGGUGAGGUAACGGCUCACCAAGGCGACGAUACAUAGCCGACCUGAGAGGGGGAUCGGCCACACUGGGACUGAGACACGGCCCAGACUCCUACGGGAGGCAGCAGUAGGGAAUCUUCGGCAAUGGACGGAAGUCUGACCGAGCCACGCCGCGUGAGUGAAGAAGGGUUUCGGAUCGUAAAGCUCUGUUGCAAGAGGAGAACGAGCGUGAGAGUGGAAAGUUCACACUGUGACGGUAUCUUACCAGAAAGGGACGGCUAACUACGUG
RNAcentral lists this ribosomal RNA (495 nucleotides) under uncultured bacterium. RNAcentral's name for it is "partial 16S ribosomal RNA". It matches the Rfam family "Bacterial small subunit ribosomal RNA", at positions 28 to 507 of the family's 1533-position model. The record is from RNAcentral.